UGUGAGCUCGAUGAGUAGGGCGGGACACGUGGUAUCCUGUCUGAAUAUGGGGGGACCAUCCUCCAAGGCUAAAUACUCCUGACUGACCGAUAGUGAACCAGUACCGUGAGGGAAAGGCGAAAAGAACCCCGGCGAGGGGAGUGAAAAAGAACCUGAAACCGUGUACGUACAAGCAGUGGGAGCACGCUUAGGCGUGUGACUGCGUACCUUUUGUAUAAUGGGUCAGCGACUUAUAUUCUGUAGCAAGGUUAACCGAAUAGGGGAGCCGAAGGGAAACCGAGUCUUAACUGGGCGUUAAGUUGCAGGGUAUAGACCCGAAACCCGGUGAUCUAGCCAUGGGCAGGUUGAAGGUUGGGUAACACUAACUGGAGGACCGAACCGACUAAUGUUGAAAAAUUAGCGGAUGACUUGUGGCUGGGGGUGAAAGGCCAAUCAAACCGGGAGAUAGCUGGUUCUCCCCGAAAGCUAUUUAGGUAGCGCCUCGUGAACUCAUCUCCGGGGGUAGAGCACUGUUUCGGCAAGGGGGUCAUCCCGACUUACCAACCCGAUGCAAACUGCGAAUACCGGAGAAUGUUAUCACGGGAGACACACGGCGGGUGCUAACGUCCGUCGUGAAGAGGGAAACAACCCAGACCGCCAGCUAAGGUCCCAAAGUCAUGGUUAAGUGGGAAACGAUGUGGGAAGGCCCAGACAGCCAGGAUGUUGGCUUAGAAGCAGCCAUCAUUUAAAGAAAGCGUAAUAGCUCACUGGUCGAGUCGGCCUGCGCGGAAGAUGUAACGGGGCUAAACCAUGCACCGAAGCUGCGGCAGCGACGCUUAUGCGUUGUUGGGUAGGGGAGCGUUCUGUAAGCCUGCGAAGGUGUGCUGUGAGGCAUGCUGGAGGUAUCAGAAGUGCGAAUGCUGACAUAAGUAACGAUAAAGCGGGUGAAAAGCCCGCUCGCCGGAAGACCAAGGGUUCCUGUCCAACGUUAAUCGGGGCAGGGUGAGUCGACCCCUAAGGCGAGGCCGAAAGGCGUAGUCGAUGGGAAACAGGUUAAUAUUCCUGUACUUGGUGUUACUGCGAAGGGGGGACGGAGAAGGCUAUGUUGGCCGGGCGACGGUUGUCCCGGUUUAAGCGUGUAGGCUGGUUUUCCAGGCAAAUCCGGAAAAUCAAGGCUGAGGCGUGAUGACGAGGCACUACGGUGCUGAAGCAACAAAUGCCCUGCUUCCAGGAAAAGCCUCUAAGCAUCAGGUAACAUCAAAUCGUACCCCAAACCGACACAGGUGGUCAGGUAGAGAAUACCAAGGCGCUUGAGAGAACUCGGGUGAAGGAACUAGGCAAAAUGGUGCCGUAACUUCGGGAGAAGGCACGCUGAUAUGUAGGUGAAGUCCCUCGCGGAUGGAGCUGAAAUCAGUCGAAGAUACCAGCUGGCUGCAACUGUUUAUUAAAAACACAGCACUGUGCAAACACGAAAGUGGACGUAUACGGUGUGACGCCUGCCCGGUGCCGGAAGGUUAAUUGAUGGGGUUAGCGCAAGCGAAGCUCUUGAUCGAAGCCCCGGUAAACGGCGGCCGUAACUAUAACGGUCCUAAGGUAGCGAAAUUCCUUGUCGGGUAAGUUCCGACCUGCACGAAUGGCGUAAUGAUGGCCAGGCUGUCUCCACCCGAGACUCAGUGAAAUUGAACUCGCUGUGAAGAUGCAGUGUACCCGCGGCAAGACGGAAAGACCCCGUGAACCUUUACUAUAGCUUGACACUGAACAUUGAGCCUUGAUGUGUAGGAUAGGUGGGAGGCUUUGAAGUGUGGACGCCAGUCUGCAUGGAGCCGACCUUGAAAUACCACCCUUUAAUGUUUGAUGUUCUAACGUUGACCCGUAAUCCGGGUUGCGGACAGUGUCUGGUGGGUAGUUUGACUGGGGCGGUCUCCUCCUAAAGAGUAACGGAGGAGCACGAAGGUUGGCUAAUCCUGGUCGGACAUCAGGAGGUUAGUGCAAUGGCAUAAGCCAGCUUGACUGCGAGCGUGACGGCGCGAGCAGGUGCGAAAGCAGGUCAUAGUGAUCCGGUGGUUCUGAAUGGAAGGGCCAUCGCUCAACGGAUAAAAGGUACUCCGGGGAUAACAGGCUGAUACCGCCCAAGAGUUCAUAUCGACGGCGGUGUUUGGCACCUCGAUGUCGGCUCAUCACAUCCUGGGGCUGAAGUAGGUCCCAAGGGUAUGGCUGUUCGCCAUUUAAAGUGGUACGCGAGCUGGGUUUAGAACGUCGUGAGACAGUUCGGUCCCUAUCUGCCGUGGGCGCUGGAGAACUGAGGGGGGCUGCUCCUAGUACGAGAGGACCGGAGUGGACGCAUCACUGGUGUUCGGGUUGUCAUGCCAAUGGCACUGCCCGGUAGCUAAAUGCGGAAGAGAUAAGUGCUGAAAGCAUCUAAGCACGAAACUUGCCCCGAGAUGAGUUCUCCCUGACUCCUUGAGAGUCCUGAAGGAACGUUGAAGACGACGACGUUGAUAGGCCGGGUGUGUAAGCGCAGCGAUGCGUUGAGCUAACCGGUACUAAUGAACCGUGAGGCUUAACCUUACAACGCCGAAGGUGUUU
RNAcentral lists this ribosomal RNA (2565 nucleotides) under Escherichia coli. Its description in RNAcentral is "partial 23S ribosomal RNA". It matches the Rfam family "Bacterial large subunit ribosomal RNA", at positions 398 to 2925 of the family's 2925-position model. Lineage: Bacteria; Pseudomonadati; Pseudomonadota; Gammaproteobacteria; Enterobacterales; Enterobacteriaceae. The record is from RNAcentral.